This 852-nucleotide long non-coding RNA is filed under the name Monodelphis domestica (gray short-tailed opossum). Its description in RNAcentral is "lncRNA (ENSMODG00000049719.1)". Lineage: Eukaryota; Metazoa; Chordata; Mammalia; Didelphimorphia; Didelphidae. The record is from RNAcentral.
UCAGCCUUCACCUCAUUCUUGAUCUUUAAUCUCCCAUUCCAAUUGCUUAUUGGCCAUCUCAAAUUAGAUGAUUGGACAUCUCAAAUUGAAAGAUACCUCAAGCUCAAUAAUAUGUAUGUAACAAUGAUCAACAUCAUAAUAGCUAGAAUUUACACAGCUCUCUAAGAUUUGUUCAUCAUUUAACAUGCUCAAAGAAUAGCUCAUCCUUCUUUCCUAGCAAUCCUCUCUCCCCUCUUUCCAAUAUCCUGGUUUACUUUGAUCUCAGCAUUAUCAUUCCGGUUAGCAAGGCCCGAGGUCUUUAUAUCACUUACAAGCCAUUGAAUGAAGUGAAAUAUGAGAUAUGAUGGAGGAAAAACCUGUGGUCUAUCAGAACAGCUCCAUUUGAUUCUCCACAUCACUAAAAACUAAUUGUGUAAAAUGAUACAAGUUUCUUUGCCUUUUAGGCUCAGAUUCACAUCUGUAACAGGGAUGAAAAAAACUGGAGAAUAUAGUCAAUGGACAACCAUCAGUCAUAUAUGGAAACUCAUAGAAAACAGAAGAGGUACUUCUGGACUAGAGAAGUGCAGACGUCCCAUUUCUUUUAAAUGAAGUAAAUAGAAUCUUAAGAAGGAAUCACUGAAGCUGAGCAUGGUGCUCUGCACAUGUAAUCCUUUCUCCUAUGGAAACUAAAGGAGGUGAAUAACUACCUCAGGAGUUCUGAGCUUCGGUAAGCUAUAUUUAUUAAGAGUUCACACUAAUUCCAGCACCAUUUUGGUAGGCACUCUGGAAGGGGAUGGGGUGGAACAUCAGGCCACUUAAGUAGAAUCAAGGCAGCCCAGGUUGGAAACAAAGCAUAUCAAAGCUCCCAUGCUG